RNAcentral lists this ribosomal RNA (497 nucleotides) under uncultured bacterium. RNAcentral's name for it is "partial 16S ribosomal RNA". It matches the Rfam family "Bacterial small subunit ribosomal RNA", at positions 28 to 507 of the family's 1533-position model. The record is from RNAcentral.
GAUGAACGCUGGCGGCGUGCCUAAUACAUGCAAGUCGAGCGAACGGACGAGAAGCUUGCUUCUCUGAUGUUAUCGGCGGACGGGUGAGUAACACGUGGAUAACCUACCUAUAAGACUGGGAUAACUUCGGGAAACCGGAGCUAAUACCGGAUAAUAUUUUGAACCGCAUGGUUCAAAAGUUAAAGACGGUCUUUCUGUCACUUAUAGAUGGAUCCGCGCUGCAUUAGCUAGUUGGUAAGGUAACGGCUUACCAAGGCAACGAUGCAUAGCCGACCUGAGAGGGUGGUCGGACACCCGGGAACUGAGAAACGGUACAGACUCCGAGGGGAGGAAGCAGUAGGGAAUCUUCCGCAAUGGGCGAAAGCCUGACGGAGCAACGCCGCGUGAGUGAUGAAGGUCUUCGGAUCGUAAAACUCUGUUAUUAGGGAAGAACAUAUGUGUAAGUAACUGUGCACAUCUUGACGGUACCUAAUCAGAAAGCCACGGCUAACUACGUG